This is a non-coding RNA of Candidatus Saccharibacteria bacterium GW2011_GWC2_48_9, 119 nucleotides long. The record is from Rfam. Lineage: Bacteria; Candidatus Saccharimonadota.
GGCCUAAACCAGUAUUGCUGGCAUGGUCAGCCAAAAAACCAUCGUGAAAUAAAUGCUCGUCGUCAGAGUACUAUUUCACGAUGGUCGGUACUGGAAACGGUAUCGGGGGCUUCGGCCUC